RNAcentral lists this long non-coding RNA (239 nucleotides) under Apteryx rowi (Okarito brown kiwi). RNAcentral's name for it is "lncRNA (ENSARWG00000001956.1)". Lineage: Eukaryota; Metazoa; Chordata; Aves; Apterygiformes; Apterygidae. The record is from RNAcentral.
CGAGCGUUAGGCGCGCGGCAGGUGUCGUUUCCUGCAAGCAGCGAGCUGAGGAGGACGCGCUAAAAGGUUGCCUGGCUUCCACCUGUGUCCGAUGUGAGCCUGUGGAAAACAAAACCUUCUAAAUUGAGUGGAUGCCACCCUUGGCUCUGAAAGUCACGUUGUUAGAAGAAGGAAGAAACAAAUGCAGAGAAGUUACAGGAUAUUAACAGCACUUAAAGAAGCAUAGGACAACUGUCAAG